UACCUUGUAGCACCCUACCCUGUAGGGCCUACCCGGGAGGUGCGGGUAAGCCUGCCGGCGGCCCACCAAACUCUGUUUGAUAUUGAAUUCUGAACCUAUAACUAAAUAAGUUAAAACUUUCAACAACGGAUCUCUUGGUUCUGGCAUCGAUGAAGAACGCAGCGAAAUGCGAUAAGUAAUGUGAAUUGCAGAAUUCAGUGAAUCAUCGAAUCUUUGAACGCAUAUUGCGCCCAUUAGUAUUCUAGUGGGCAGGACCGUUCGAGCGUCAUUUCAACCCUUAAGCCUUCGUUGCUUAGUGUUGGGAGCCUACGGCAACGUAGCUCCUCAAAGUUAGUGGCGGAGUUGGUUCACACUCUAGACGUAGUAAUUUUUUAUCUCGCCUAUUAGUUGGACUAAUCCCCUGCCGUAAAACCCCCAAUUUAUCAAGGUUGACCUCGAAUCGGUUCAGACAAACUCGCUAAAUUGAAGCAUCUUAGUCAGCGAAGGAAAAGAAACCAACAGGGAUUGCCCUAGUAACGGCGAGUGAAGCGGCAACAGCUCAAAUUUGAAAUCUGGCCCUCGGGUCCGAGUUGUAAUUUGUAGAGGAUGCUUUUGGCGCGGUGCCUUCCGAGUUCCCUGGAACGGGACGCCUUAGAGGGUGAGAGCCCCGUACGGUUGGACACCAAGCCUCUGUAAAGCUCCUUCGACGAGUCGAGUAGCUUGGGAAUGCUGCUCUAAAUGGGAGGUAAAUUUCUUCUAAAGCUAAAUAUUGGCCAGAGA
This 759-nucleotide ribosomal RNA is filed under the name fungal endophyte. Its description in RNAcentral is "eukaryotic LSU rRNA". The stretch from base 430 to 759 matches the Rfam family "Eukaryotic large subunit ribosomal RNA", at positions 1 to 333 of the family's 3401-position model. The record is from RNAcentral. Lineage: Eukaryota; Fungi.